GGGUUGUGAGGUUAAGCGACUAAGCGUACACGGUGGAUGCCCUGGCAGUCAGAGGCGAUGAAGGACGUGCUAAUCUGCGAUAAGCGUCGGUAAGGUGAUAUGAACCGUUAUAACCGGCGAUUUCCGAAUGGGGAAACCCAGUGUGUUUCGACACACUAUCAUUAACUGAAUCCAUAGGUUAAUGAGGCGAACCGGGGGAACUGAAACAUCUAAGUACCCCGAGGAAAAGAAAUCAACCGAGAUUCCCCCAGUAGCGGCGAGCGAACGGGGAGGAGCCCAGAGCCUGAAUCAGUGUGUGUGUUAGUGGAAGCGUCUGGAAAGGCGCGCGAUACAGGGUGACAGCCCCGUACACAAAAAUGCACAUGCUGUGAGCUCGAUGAGUAGGGCGGGACACGUGGUAUCCUGUCUGAAUAUGGGGGGACCAUCCUCCAAGGCUAAAUACUCCUGACUGACCGAUAGUGAACCAGUACCGUGAGGGAAAGGCGAAAAGAACCCCGGCGAGGGGAGUGAAAAAGAACCUGAAACCGUGUACGUACAAGCAGUGGGAGCACGCUUAGGCGUGUGACUGCGUACCUUUUGUAUAAUGGGUCAGCGACUUAUAUUCUGUAGCAAGGUUAACCGAAUAGGGGAGCCGAAGGGAAACCGAGUCUUAACUGGGCGUUAAGUUGCAGGGUAUAGACCCGAAACCCGGUGAUCUAGCCAUGGGCAGGUUGAAGGUUGGGUAACACUAACUGGAGGACCGAACCGACUAAUGUUGAAAAAUUAGCGGAUGACUUGUGGCUGGGGGUGAAAGGCCAAUCAAACCGGGAGAUAGCUGGUUCUCCCCGAAAGCUAUUUAGGUAGCGCCUCGUGAAUUCAUCUCCGGGGGUAGAGCACUGUUUCGGCAAGGGGGUCAUCCCGACUUACCAACCCGAUGCAAACUGCGAAUACCGGAGAAUGUUAUCACGGGAGACACACGGCGGGUGCUAACGUCCGUCGUGAAGAGGGAAACAACCCAGACCGCCAGCUAAGGUCCCAAAGUCAUGGUUAAGUGGGAAACGAUGUGGGAAGGCCCAGACAGCCAGGAUGUUGGCUUAGAAGCAGCCAUCAUUUAAAGAAAGCGUAAUAGCUCACUGGUCGAGUCGGCCUGCGCGGAAGAUGUAACGGGGCUAAACCAUGCACCGAAGCUGCGGCAGCGACACUGUGUGUUGUUGGGUAGGGGAGCGUUCUGUAAGCCUGUGAAGGUGUACUGUGAGGUAUGCUGGAGGUAUCAGAAGUGCGAAUGCUGACAUAAGUAACGAUAAAGCGGGUGAAAAGCCCGCUCGCCGGAAGACCAAGGGUUCCUGUCCAACGUUAAUCGGGGCAGGGUGAGUCGACCCCUAAGGCGAGGCCGAAAGGCGUAGUCGAUGGGAAACAGGUUAAUAUUCCUGUACUUGGUGUUACUGCGAAGGGGGGACGGAGAAGGCUAUGUUGGCCGGGCGACGGUUGUCCCGGUUUAAGCGUGUAGGCUGGUUUUCCAGGCAAAUCCGGAAAAUCAAGGCUGAGGCGUGAUGACGAGGCACUACGGUGCUGAAGCAACAAAUGCCCUGCUUCCAGGAAAAGCCUCUAAGCAUCAGGUAACAUCAAAUCGUACCCCAAACCGACACAGGUGGUCAGGUAGAGAAUACCAAGGCGCUUGAGAGAACUCGGGUGAAGGAACUAGGCAAAAUGGUGCCGUAACUUCGGGAGAAGGCACGCUGAUAUGUAGGUGAAGCGACUUGCUCGUGGAGCUGAAAUCAGUCGAAGAUACCAGCUGGCUGCAACUGUUUAUUAAAAACACAGCACUGUGCAAACACGAAAGUGGACGUAUACGGUGUGACGCCUGCCCGGUGCCGGAAGGUUAAUUGAUGGGGUUAGCGCAAGCGAAGCUCUUGAUCGAAGCCCCGGUAAACGGCGGCCGUAACUAUAACGGUCCUAAGGUAGCGAAAUUCCUUGUCGGGUAAGUUCCGACCUGCACGAAUGGCGUAAUGAUGGCCAGGCUGUCUCCACCCGAGACUCAGUGAAAUUGAACUCGCUGUGAAGAUGCAGUGUACCCGCGGCAAGACGGAAAGACCCCGUGAACCUUUACUAUAGCUUGACACUGAACAUUGAGCCUUGAUGUGUAGGAUAGGUGGGAGGCUUAGAAGUGUGGACGCCAGUCUGCAUGGAGCCGACCUUGAAAUACCACCCUUUAAUGUUUGAUGUUCUAACGUUGACCCGUAAUCCGGGUUGCGGACAGUGUCUGGUGGGUAGUUUGACUGGGGCGGUCUCCUCCUAAAGAGUAACGGAGGAGCACGAAGGUUGGCUAAUCCUGGUCGGACAUCAGGAGGUUAGUGCAAUGGCAUAAGCCAGCUUGACUGCGAGCGUGACGGCGCGAGCAGGUGCGAAAGCAGGUCAUAGUGAUCCGGUGGUUCUGAAUGGAAGGGCCAUCGCUCAACGGAUAAAAGGUACUCCGGGGAUAACAGGCUGAUACCGCCCAAGAGUUCAUAUCGACGGCGGUGUUUGGCACCUCGAUGUCGGCUCAUCACAUCCUGGGGCUGAAGUAGGUCCCAAGGGUAUGGCUGUUCGCCAUUUAAAGUGGUACGCGAGCUGGGUUUAGAACGUCGUGAGACAGUUCGGUCCCUAUCUGCCGUGGGCGCUGGAGAACUGAGGGGGGCUGCUCCUAGUACGAGAGGACCGGAGUGGACGCAUCACUGGUGUUCGGGUUGUCAUGCCAAUGGCACUGCCCGGUAGCUAAAUGCGGAAGAGAUAAGUGCUGAAAGCAUCUAAGCACGAAACUUGCCCCGAGAUGAGUUCUCCCUGACCCUUUAAGGGUCCUGAAGGAACGUUGAAGACGACGACGUUGAUAGGCCGGGUGUGUAAGCGCAGCGAUGCGUUGAGCUAACCGGUACUAAUGAACCGUGAGGCUUAACCUUACAACGCCGAAGGUGUUU
This 2930-nucleotide ribosomal RNA is filed under the name Escherichia coli. RNAcentral's name for it is "23S ribosomal RNA". It matches the Rfam family "Bacterial large subunit ribosomal RNA". Lineage: Bacteria; Pseudomonadati; Pseudomonadota; Gammaproteobacteria; Enterobacterales; Enterobacteriaceae. The record is from RNAcentral.